RNAcentral lists this ribosomal RNA (301 nucleotides) under uncultured bacterium. Its description in RNAcentral is "partial 16S ribosomal RNA". It matches the Rfam family "Bacterial small subunit ribosomal RNA", at positions 509 to 807 of the family's 1533-position model. The record is from RNAcentral.
CAGCCGCCGCGGUAAUACGGAGGGUGCGAGCGUUAAUCGGAAUUACUGGGCGUAAAGCGUACGCAGGCGGUUUGUUAAGUCAGAUGUGAAAUCCCCGAGCUUAACUCGGGAACUGCACUUGAAACUGGCAGGCUAGAGUCUCGUAGAGGGGGGUAGAAUUCCAGGUGUAGCGGUGAAAUGCGUAGAGAUCUGGAGGAAUACCGGUGGCGAAGGCGGCCCCCUGGACGAAGACUGACGCUCAGGUACGAAAGCGUGGGGAGCAAACAGGAUUAGAUACCCCUGUAGUCCCUGUCUCUUAUAC